Molecule: non-coding RNA, 608 nt
Organism: Pelobates cultripes (western spadefoot toad)
Lineage: Eukaryota; Metazoa; Chordata; Amphibia; Anura; Pelobatidae
Source: the annotation of a GenBank genome assembly
CUGGCAAACUUGGGCAGAACAGUUUGAAAAGACUGUCUUGGCCAAGCUUGAGGAAGGGAAUCAGGUUCAGGGUGAUAGGAGUGAAAACAGACAUGGUUUUGUACACUGGCAGAACUCUGAUGCUGAUCAGAAUUGUGAUAGUGAACGAGAAGCUCAGAGUGAUGGGAGUGAAAGUGAUUGCACUGUCCACUCUGAAGGCCAUGUGACUGCUAUGCCAUCUGCACUGUUAUACGGAUCUAAUUCCUCUUCAGCAGCCAGAUCGCAUAGACGUUUACCUAAACGCAGCGACACUAGAAACAGGAUUAAUAAAUCAAAUAUGCCUGUCUAUGAAACGCCUAUGGUUUAGUAAAUUCCUCAAAGAGACAGUACCACAAUUUUCUACAAGUUAAGGAAACAUAUCUGAACAUCUGGAAAAUGAUGAAAGCCAUGAAUUAAUUGGGCAUGUAUGAUGACAUCCAUACGAAAUGGUACAUUACAUGGACCUUUGAUUCAAUAUGCCAUAUUCAUCUGGAGAGUCUUCAAGCUAUACAGCUAAUGUCCUGAUCCAAGAUGAAAUAUGAGAUAAUCAUGGAAUAUGGUAAGUGUAACGGAUCACCUGACACCCCGAC